Molecule: ribosomal RNA, 483 nt
Filed under: uncultured bacterium
Lineage: Bacteria
Description: bacterial SSU rRNA
Rfam family: Bacterial small subunit ribosomal RNA
Source: RNAcentral
AUUGAACGCUGGCGGCAGGCCUAACACAUGCAAGUCGAACGGUAGCACAGAGAGCUUGCUCUUGGGUGACGAGUGGCGGACGGGUGAGUAAUGUCUGGGAAACUGCCCGAUGGAGGGGGAUAACUACUGGAAACGGUAGCUAAUACCGCAUAACGUCGCAAGACCAAAGUGGGGGACCUUCGGGCCUCACACCAUCGGAUGUGCCCAGAUGGGAUUAGCUAGUAGGUGGGGUAAUGGCUCACCUAGGCGACGAUCCCUAGCUGGUCUGAGAGGAUGACCAGCCACACUGGAACUGAGACACGGUCCAGACUCCUACGGGAGGCAGCAGUGGGGAAUAUUGCACAAUGGGCGCAAGCCUGAUGCAGCCAUGCCGCGUGUAUGAAGAAGGCCUUCGGGUUGUAAAGUACUUUCAGCGAGGAGGAAGGCAUUGUGGUUAAUAACCGCAGUGAUUGACGUUACUCGCAGAAGAAGCACCGGCUAACU